This 460-nucleotide ribosomal RNA is filed under the name uncultured bacterium. RNAcentral's name for it is "partial 16S ribosomal RNA". It matches the Rfam family "Bacterial small subunit ribosomal RNA", at positions 338 to 795 of the family's 1533-position model. The record is from RNAcentral.
CCUACGGGUGGCAGCAGUGAGGAAUAUUGGUCAAUGGGCGCGAGCCUGAACCAGCAACGCAGCGUGAAGGAAGACUGCCCUAGGGGUUGUAAACUCCUUUUAUAAAGGAAUAAAGUGAGGCACGUGUGCCUUUAUGCAUGUACUUUAUGAAAAAGGAUCGGCUAACUCCGUGCCAGCAGCCGCGGUAAUACGGAGGAUCCGAGGUUUAUCCGGAUUGAUUGGGUUUAAAGGGAGCGUAGAGGGGUUGUUAAGUCAGAUGUGAAAGUUUGCGGCUCAACCGUAAAAUUGCAUUUGAUAAUGGCAGCCUUGAGUGCAGUUGAGGUAAGUGGAAUUCGUGGUGUAGCGGUGGAAUGCUUAGAUAUCACGAAGAACUCCUGUUGCGAAGGCAGCUUACUGGACUGCCACUGACGCUGAGGCUCGAAAGUGUGGGUAUCAAACAGGAUUAGAUACCCCUGUAGUC